Molecule: ribosomal RNA, 253 nt
Filed under: uncultured bacterium
Lineage: Bacteria
Description: partial 16S ribosomal RNA
Rfam family: Bacterial small subunit ribosomal RNA
Source: RNAcentral
UACGUAGGUGACAAGCGUUGUCCGGAUUUACUGGGCGUAAAGAGCGCGCAGGCGGUCGAUCAAGUCGAGUGUGAAAGCCCCCGGCUCAACUGGGGAGGGUCGUUCGAUACUGAUCGACUCGAAGGCAGGAGAGGGUAGUGGAAUUCCCGGUGUAGUGGUGAAAUGCGUAGAUAUCGGGAGGAACACCAGUGGCGAAGGCGACUACCUGGCCUGUAAUUGACGCUGAGGCGCGAAAGCUAGGGGAGCAAACGGG